CUAAAUUAAUAUAUUUGCAUUUCCUCGUGCCAGCACACGCAAAAAUGCGUGUGAAUGUAUAGCAGGGGGUCGCAAAAUCUUUGGUUGAUUUUUUUAAUAUACAUAUAUAUUUUUAAUUUUCCCCCACAAAGUGUUAAGUGAGUUACAGACAAGACACAACAGACUGACUAGAGAGAGGAAUGAGUUGCAGACCAGUUACAACAACCUGACUCGAGAGAGGAAUGAGUUACAGACAAGAUACAACAGACUGACUACAGAGAAAGAACAGCUGCAGAACUGUUAUCAAAGCCUGCCUGAAAGCCAAGUGCCGCUUCAAGGACAAAACUGGGUGUGCUUUGGUGGAAGUGCCUAUUAUGUUUCUGAUAGCACAAAGUCCUGGAAUGAAAGCAGGUAUGACUGUCAGCGGAGAGGAGCAGACCUGCUGAUCAUCAACAGCCCAGAAGAACAGAAAUUUUGCAGAAAAAUUCAGAAAGCGUGCAUGGAUUGGACUGACUGACGAGGAGACAGAGGGGACGUGGAAAUGGAUGGAUGGGACUCCACUGAACACAAGCUCCUGGGGCCCUGGUGAGCCAAACGAUGACAAAGGAGAUGAAGAUUGUGUAGAAAUAGUCUUUCUGAGCUUGGGUGCCAGGUGGAAUGAUAACACAUGCAACAGUGAAACCUACUGGAUCUGUGAGAAAAAUUUCACUCCAUGAUUCAACUUUCAAACUCAUCAGAGUAUUACAACGCAUCAAUUUAAGCUGAAACUGCCAAAAUGAUUCUAAGCAAAUGCAGCUUUUUAACUGAUGUAUCACUGUUAUGAGUUAAUUUAUCACCAUUUGAACUGCAAAUAAACUAUAACCUUUGAUAACAAGUCUAUGAGCUGUCCUGCAGACCACCACUAGAAAGGUGAUAGAAUUAUCAUUAUCUAUUCACUGUAUUACUGUUGCGUGCCAUGUUUUGCUUGUUUACUGUUGUGUUCUUGUUUAUGAAGGCUCUGUCUAAAAAUGCAUUUUGCUGCAAUAAAUGGUUAAAACAUGAUAUAUAAUAUCUGCAAUCUUGUGUGUGUGUCUUUUAUAUAAUAACUGAUAAAACUGCAGACAAAAUGAAUAAAUGUGGGCAAGGUCCGUUCCUAGUGUUGCUAACUCCACACACCGCAGUAAAUGUUGCAGAAAGAGCCACAUGAGUUCACACAGUCACUGCCAGACGAUCCCUGAGCUGAUAGACACUUUCUGACAUCACACACACACCACAGGCAGUGUCUCUGAUGAGAUAAUAACAGGGAAGAAACCCAGCGUUGAUAACAUAAGCUCUCUGCACACAGUUGCUCGGUUGCUUGUAAUAUACACAUCAUCUUGGACCAAGGACUCUGUGAGAAUUCCAGCCACAAGACACUCGUGUGAUGAAACCUCAUGUACUAAAUUUGUUAUCAUUGGCUUUCACAUGAUUAUUAUUAUUACUAUUAUUCCAGUCAUUUGGUUUCUUUGAUUUGACGACAUACUUCCUCCUGAGAUAUCACAGGCUAAACGUACAGAAAGAGCUGACAGAGCCCAUGGGUACAGAGGAAUAUGUGGUACAAUUUAGCUAACUACCCUGAUCACUCAGUAUUAAAUUCUUCAUAUGUCGUGUGCAUGCGGUAUGCUGAACCAGUUGCCUUCAACGGCAUUCCACAUCCGAUAGAUCCAAUAACCGAUAACUCCUAUGCACAAAGCAAAAACAGCAUGCUUAACAUUUCUGCUUUGCAUUAAUGAUGGCCCAUCUUAAACCGUGAGAGUGCUAGGUGCUCUUUCUUCCCUCAGACCAGAACAGUGGUUCAUUAACACAGAGCAGGAACUUCUCAAGCAGACACUGAGCUAGUGUAACU
Mugil cephalus (flathead mullet) is the source of this 1843-nucleotide long non-coding RNA. RefSeq lists it as uncharacterized. NCBI's taxonomy places the organism in Eukaryota, Metazoa, Chordata, Actinopteri, Mugiliformes, Mugilidae. The record is from RefSeq and is a predicted model, not a curated record. The transcript is spliced from 4 exons.